RNAcentral lists this ribosomal RNA (253 nucleotides) under uncultured bacterium. Its description in RNAcentral is "partial 16S ribosomal RNA". It matches the Rfam family "Bacterial small subunit ribosomal RNA", at positions 524 to 776 of the family's 1533-position model. The record is from RNAcentral.
UACGUAGGGUGCGAGCGUUAAUCAGAAUUACUGGGCGUAAAGCGUGCGCAGGCGGUUUUGUAAGCCAGAUGUGAAAUCCCCGGGCUUAACCUGGGAAUGGCAUUUGGGACUGCAAGGCUCGAGUGCGGCAGAGGAGACUGGAAUUCCUGGUGUAGCAGUGAAAUGCGUAGAUAUCAGGAGGAACACCGAUGGCGAAGGCAGGUCUCUGGGCUGACACUGACGCUCAUGCACGAAAGCGUGGGGAGCAAACAGG